GACCUCAAAUCAGGUAGGACUACCCGCUGAACUUAAGCAUAUCAAUAAGCGGAGGAAAAGAAACUAACAAGGAUUCCCCUAGUAACUGCGAGUGAAGCGGGAAAAGCUCAAAUUUAAAAUCUGGCGGUCUCUGGCCGUCCGAGUUGUAAUCUAGAGAAGUGUUAUCCGCGCUGGACCGUGUACAAGUCUCCUGGAAUGGAGCGUCAUAGAGGGUGAGAAUCCCGUCUUUGACACGGACUGCCAGGGCUUUUGUGAUGCGCUCUCAAAGAGUCGAGUUGUUUGGGAAUGCAGCUCAAAAUGGGUGGUAAAUUCCAUCUAAAGCUAAAUAUUGGCGAGAGACCGAUAGCGAACAAGUACCGUGAGGGAAAGAUGAAAAGAACUUUGGAAAGAGAGUUAAACAGUACGUGAAAUUGCUGAAAGGGAAACGCUUAAAGUCAGUCGCGUUGGCCGGGGAUCAACCUUGCUUUUGCUGGGCGUACUUUCCGGUCGACGGGUCAGCAUCAAUUUUGACCGUUGGAUAAAGUCUAGGG
Molecule: ribosomal RNA, 530 nt
Filed under: uncultured fungus
Lineage: Eukaryota; Fungi
Description: eukaryotic LSU rRNA
Rfam family: Eukaryotic large subunit ribosomal RNA
Source: RNAcentral